UACAGAGGAGCCAAGCGUUGUCCGGAUUGACUGGGCGUAAAGCGCACGCAGGCGGACGCGCGCGUGGGGUGUGAAAUCUGGCCGCUUAACGGCCAGGCGCCAUCCCAUACGGCGCGACUGGAGUGAUGCAGAGGUCGAUGGAAUUGCCGGUGUAGUGGUGAAAUGCGUAGAGAUCGGCAGGAACACCCAGGGGGAAACCA
RNAcentral lists this ribosomal RNA (200 nucleotides) under uncultured bacterium. Its description in RNAcentral is "partial 16S ribosomal RNA". It matches the Rfam family "Bacterial small subunit ribosomal RNA", at positions 524 to 723 of the family's 1533-position model. The record is from RNAcentral.